This 2358-nucleotide unclassified non-coding RNA is filed under the name Hevea brasiliensis (rubber tree). Lineage: Eukaryota; Viridiplantae; Streptophyta; Magnoliopsida; Malpighiales; Euphorbiaceae. The record is from RNAcentral.
GUAUUACGCUAUAGGCGCACAAUGAAAACCAGAAAACAGACGCCAGUACGACGUAUCUAUCUUCUACUAGAAUAUAGAUCUCAAGAAACUCAGCAGCUAAAAAUAUCAAAUCUUCAGUCAUUAGCUGACAGUGAUUUCCCCUUCUCAUCUCUAGUGGUCUUUUCUCCGCCUUGAAUUUUCAUCGCACUACUAAUGAUUUCCGCGACUUCCUUCACAGCUACUCUUUCCACCCGGACGCCGUAUAAAUCCCCAAAAUUGACGCGGAAAUCCUUGUCUUCUAGCUCCGGUUUAGGGUUUUUAUCUGCCAGUUCCAAGUCCUUUAUGGCACUUAGAGCCGAUAAUAAUGGUAGUAAUGGCGGCGGUUCAGCUCUCGGUGCUCGUAUGGUAUCCACUCCUACUGUUGAGCCUCUGAUUUCUCUUGAUUUUGAGACCUCUGUCUUCAAGAAGGAGAAGAUCUCCCUCGCUGGUCAUGACGAGUACAUUGUGAGAGGAGGAAGGGAUUUGUUCCACUUGCUGCCAGAUGCAUUCAAGGGAAUCAAGCAGAUUGGCGUUAUUGGUUGGGGUUCCCAGGGUCCUGCCCAAGCUCAGAAUUUAAGGGAUUCUCUAGCAGACGCCAAGUCUGAUAUUGUAGUGAAGAUUGGACUUAGGAAGGGAUCUCAUUCAUUCAAUGAAGCUCGUGCAGCUGGUUUUACUGAAGAGAAUGGGACUCUAGGCGAUAUAUGGGAAACUAUUUCAGGCAGUGACCUUGUCAUGUUACUGAUAUCUGAUGCUGCACAGGCUGAUAACUAUGAGAAAAUUUUAUCCCAUAUGAAGCCAAACAGCAUACUUGGGCUUUCCCAUGGAUUUCUUCUUGGACAUUUGCAGUCAAUGGGACUUGACUUUCCAAAAAACAUUAGUGUGAUUGCUGUGUGUCCCAAGGGAAUGGGUCCAUCUGUAAGGAGACUCUAUGUUCAAGGCAAAGAAAUCAAUGGUGCUGGAAUUAAUUCUAGUUUUGCAGUCCACCAGGAUGUUGAUGGUAGAGCCACAGAUGUUGCCUUGGGAUGGUCAAUUGCCCUUGGUUCUCCUUUCUCUUUUGCCACUACUCUAGAACAGGAGUACAAGAGUGACAUCUUUGGGGAGCGUGGCAUUUUACUGGGAGCUGUACAUGGAAUUGUGGAGUCCUUGUUUAGACGAUACACUGAAAAUGGAAUGAGUGAAGAGGAAGCUUACAAGAAUACUGUUGAGUGCAUAACUGGAAUUAUAUCAAAGAUCAUCUCAACCCAGGGUAUGUUGGCCGUAUACAAUUCCUUGUCUAAAGAAGGGAAAAAAGAAUUUGAGAUUGCAUACAGUGCUUCAUAUUAUCCCUGCAUGGAUAUCUUGUACGAGUGCUAUGAAGAUGUAGCUUGCGGCAAUGAGAUUCGCAGUGUUGUCUUGGCUGGCCGUCGCUUUUAUGAAAAGGAUGGUCUUCCAGCUUUUCCAAUGGGUAAAAUUGAUCAAACACGCAUGUGGAAGGUUGGUGAGCGAGUCCGAUCAGUUAGACAAGCAGGGGACCUAGGUCCAUUAUAUCCUUUUACUGCAGGCGUCUAUGUGGCAUUAAUGAUGGCGCAGGUAACACAUACAUAUAAAUGAUGUAGUUUUCUUUAAUCACCAAGCAUCUAGUGGUUCCCUUCUCUCUCUGUCCCCUGUUUCUUUUGUAGGUGUAGUAAAAUAAUUUGGGUUUAUUGCCAUUGGGCCUUAUAUCUUGGUUUAUAGUAACACCACUUAUUGACUUGACUGGGCAAGAAAGGAAUUGGAAAUAGACGAUGUUUUGGUAUCUCACUUUUUGGCUUUAUAAUGUCUAAUGUUUGUAUUUCUGAAUUCUAGAUUGAAAUCUUAAGGAAGAAAGGGCACUCAUACUCUGAGAUCAUCAAUGAAAGUGUGAUAGAGUCUGUGGAUUCUUUGAAUCCAUUUAUGCACGCACGUGGAGUUUCUUUCAUGGUUGACAAUUGCUCAACAACAGCAAGAUUGGGAUCCAGGAAAUGGGCUCCUCGUUUUGAUUAUAUCCUUAACCAACAAGCUUUGGUAGCUGUGGACAAUGAAACUCCCGUCAAUCGAGAUCUCAUUGGCAACUUCCUAUCAGAUCCGGUGCAUGGAGCCAUUGAAGUUUGUGCUCAACUGAGACCUACAGUAGACAUUUCAGUGCCACCAGAUGCUGACUUUGUGAGACCUGAGUUGCGCCAAUCUAGCAAUUGAGAUCUGAAGAACUUUAAUUUGAACCGGCUAGGAGAAAUCCCUACCUAUAGGUUGAGGGUGAAGCUUGCUUUGGAUUGUAAGCGUAGUCUAGUUCUGUGAACUUACUCUUGUGUGACAUUUGUAGUAUUAUGAUCUAACUUUUUUUGU